UCCGGAAUUAUUGGGCGUAAAGGGCACGUAGGCGGACAAAUAAGUUUGAUGUCAAAUAUGAUGGCUCAACCAUCAAGAGGCGUUGAAAACUGUUUAUCUAGAAUCUCGGAGAGGUAAGUGGAAUUCCAUGUGUAGCGGUGGAAUGCGUAGAUAUAUGGAGGAACACCAAUGGCGAAGGCAGCUUACUGGACGAAGAUUGACGCUGAGGUGCGAAAGCGUGGGUAGCAAACAGGAUUAGAUACCCUGGUAG
Molecule: ribosomal RNA, 250 nt
Filed under: uncultured bacterium
Lineage: Bacteria
Description: partial 16S ribosomal RNA
Rfam family: Bacterial small subunit ribosomal RNA
Source: RNAcentral